RNAcentral lists this long non-coding RNA (324 nucleotides) under Bemisia tabaci. RNAcentral describes it as "lncRNA ENSSSA3NGG002447". Lineage: Eukaryota; Metazoa; Arthropoda; Insecta; Hemiptera; Aleyrodidae. The record is from RNAcentral.
AAGAAGACGUGCGUGAUGCCGAACAAUCAAGGCGCGCCCAAGAGGAGGAACCCUUCACGCCGGCGGAUAACUUCCUCGUGCCCGCGGAGCCUAUUCCGCCGGAAAUUGAGCACCAGAGGAACGACAGUUUGUUUAAGGAUAGCGAGGCGCACACGGUGGUUUGGGCGGAGAUGCUCGUGUCCGUCUUCGACCUUAUCGCCCAGCUCUCCGACUUGGAUCUCCGCAUCCUCCUCCCGGUCAUCUUCAACGGCGUCCGGCAUCUCACCGCCUACGCCACUCAUCCUCCCCUCAAACACGCCAUCGCCGAGUUCUUCCACCGCAUAG